CACCCCUGUCCAUCCCCUCCCUCUCGCAGAUUCGCUUCCUCUCCCUUAUCCUCUCUCCCUCUCGCUCCACCACUGUGGCCCUCGCCCCACUUCCCUUUGCCUCCCUCCCCCGGCGAGCCGGCCUCCGCCGGCCUCCUUCGACCGCCCCCUCCCUCCCCCGGCCCGCCUACCCGCUGGAUCUGGGGCCGCACGGCCGGUCUGCUGUGUCCUCCACGCUGCACGGGCUCGGCGCCGUCGCCUCCGCCAAGCCCAGAUCCGCCGCCUAGCCUCUGCAGCGGCGGCGAUGAGGAGCGUGCGCCGUGCGCAUGGCCGCGGCGGCGGCGGCCAAGGGAGAAGCGGGCUCCGCGCGAGGCAGGCUGCUGGCUCGGAGCGCCAUUGCAGCGAAGGCGGAUGAGGCGGCCACGGCGGCUGGAUCCAAGUCUGGUGGGUCUGGAAGUACAUUUGUGUUGGUCAGCUCAACAUCACAAGAAAAAAGAAUGCAGAGGUAUGGUUCUUGGAUGCAGAUGUCUAAAUGAAUGCAGAGGUAGAUCUUGGAUGCAGAUGUCGUGGAGGUCUUGCUAAAGCACAUUGCACAUGCAUUGGUGUUUGGUUUCGUACUAGAGGAUCAAACAAAUGUGAGAUAUGCCAGCAAGUGGCUGUCAAUAUCUGCUCUCCAGAGACGCAAGCAAGUGUAUGUUUACUAUUUUGCAAUCUGUAUUGGACUAUUUUGAGAAUGCUCCAGAGUUGAUUUUCUAGAAGUUGAGCUUGCUUUUAGUUGAAGCAACUUAAAUGUCGUACUAACAUGUAUGUGAUGUGAUGCAUUGUUUCAUCAUUUGUGUUUCAUGAUUUCAAUUUUGACAUGAUUUAGGCCUCUAUGUGUGAGCAGAUCAGUUUCUUGUACAGAGCUAGAGGGCACGAGGAUGACAUUGCUCAUUUACUUGUUUUCCUGGAUACAAUUCAUGUUUUUUGUUUUCUGUAGGACUCUAAUAAUGUGUACGGAUGUAAUUGAAUGUAACUUAUGGAUGUAAUUAAGGAAUAUAAGAAAUUUUGAUUUCUUU
This is a long non-coding RNA of Panicum virgatum (switchgrass), 1037 nucleotides long. RefSeq lists it as uncharacterized. The record is from RefSeq and is a predicted model, not a curated record. Lineage: Eukaryota; Viridiplantae; Streptophyta; Magnoliopsida; Poales; Poaceae. The transcript has 5 exons.